Molecule: long non-coding RNA, 269 nt
Filed under: Elaeis guineensis (African oil palm)
Lineage: Eukaryota; Viridiplantae; Streptophyta; Magnoliopsida; Arecales; Arecaceae
Description: long non-coding RNA (EGUI_LNC052377)
Source: RNAcentral
GGCCACCCAAACACCACUAGCAUUAUCCAAAUAUUCAUGCAUACAUACAUACAUACAUACAUACAUGCAUAUAUGUAUAUAUACACACACACACUAUAAGAACUUGGACUAUUAGCAACGGCUAAUCACUGUUGCUAAUAGUUGUUUUGCCGUUACUAAUAUAUUAGUGACGGAAUCUCAUCAUUAAUUAGUGGUUGGAAAAAUUCUAGUCAUUAAUUACCAUUAUUAGCAAUGAAUUUUACAACCAUCGCUAAUAAGUGGUAUUAGUG